Heterocephalus glaber (naked mole-rat) is the source of this 4831-nucleotide long non-coding RNA. Lineage: Eukaryota; Metazoa; Chordata; Mammalia; Rodentia; Bathyergidae. The record is from Ensembl.
GUACGGGAACUCGCCGCGCUCCGCGCCCCCCAGCACGCUCAGCCCCAGCUCGCCCUGCGGUCCGCGCCUCACGGUGCACUCGCGCACCCGGCCAGUCCAGUGGCUCCUCUUCGGAGCCACUUUCGACAUGACGGCUUGCACUCAGCCACGAACAGACACGCAAAGUGAAGGCGAGCAGAGCUACCGAGGCAGGUGCCGCCGGCCGGCCGCUCACGGGAGCGGCAUGGUUCGGCGCCCGGCGGCAGCCCGCUCCGCACGCUCAGGCCAUCGCGGGACGAACUUUCCGGGCGUCCCCGCGAGCUUUGUUUGCAUUCCGGAGCCUCCGUCCGCGUCCCGGCGUCGGCCCGCCCGCCGGGCCAGAGUCCGCUCGCGCGCUCGGCUCGGUUUUCCCCUCUCCUUUCGUUCUCGACUCCAGCCGGCUUGCGGCUCGCGGCUCGCGGCUCGCGGCGGGCGGCUCCUGAGAGAAGCGGAGUCCGCGCGCUCAGCCGGAGCCCGGGGCCGGCGCGGGCGGGGGCGGAGCCGAGGCCGGCGCGCGGCCCCUUUAAGCCGAGGGAAAGGCUGGGCUUGUUUUGUUCCGCUUCAUUCUGCUCCGCGCCGAGAGCCCGCCGGACCCGGAGGCGGUGCGCAUGCGUCCACGGCCCUCCGCGCCCCGCCCCCCGGAGGGAGUCUUCCGCCGCGAGUCCCCGCGGGUCCUGAGGCCGACCUCGACCUCGGGGGAGCCUCGAGGAUCCCCGCUCCGCCUUGGUUUCUCUCCGUCCGCUGCGGUCCGCACAGGCUUCGCGGGAGGACGAGGCGCACACGCGUUUGGCGGCUUUUCAGACUCGGGCAGUCUGGCUUCCGCGUUGACAAUCCCCUUCAAACAGGGCGGGACGGGGCGUCCCUCGCUGCGCACUUGCUCACCUUCCGCAGCCCGCAGCCCGCAGGGCGCCCGAGCCCGCCUGGAGGCCCAGCGCCGGCCUCAGGUUCUGCGGGGGCCCGCAGCGCACCGCGCGCGCCCCAGCUUGGGGCGGCUGCCUCCCGGAGAGCCGCCGAAUUUGCCGUCGUCUGUCGGCAAAGACUGGAAGAAAGAUGGCAGAAAGGAGAGGGAAAGUCAUAACUGAAAACUGUGCUUUCGGGAGCGCAACUUCCGGGGCCCAGUGGAAGUUUCCCCCUGUGCUGCGUAUUGGCUUUUCCUUGGUUAUAUUGGGGCUUCCCUCCUUCCAGACACAUCACACCUAGCUUUCCUGAAGAAUACUGUAAGUCCAUAAACCGACUUAAUUGAGAAAGUAAAGAGCAAAACCUAAUCCUAAAAUAAAGGGACAGCUUGAGAAAAUCCAAAGAAUGUUUAAGUUACCCAUUUUUAAAACAAAACCGGUAAUACCAGUACCUAGCCCAUACCAGUAAAAUGGGCUAGGACCCCUCUGGGGGUGGCCACCUUUCCCCGGGUUUUCAGCCCCUCAAGAGAAGCAUAAAUAUUCCCAGUUCCAGGAAACGUUUCGUCUCGUUUCUCUGAAUGCCUGCACUUCACCCUUGAUACUUUAAAAGUUCUGCAUGAAGUUCCCUUCACGCCUCUUACUGACCCACCCUGUAAAUUCUUUUUCUGCAAAAGCAGUCCUUGAACCUGCAAUCUUGUUCUAUAGGUAGGGUGGGUUAGGUGUAUCAUCUCCGCUUUAGCACCCUCCUCGACCCUGUCCAGGGACUGAUGGCCAGGCCUCUGCCUGAGUAGGGUGGGGUUGGCCACCUUCGGACUGCCCGGGGCUAAGGUUCUUGGCUGGUGCUGCAGGCGCCCCCAGGCACAGGGCUGAGCAGCCCCCUCUCAGAAUUUGUUCCAAGGACGUGACAAGAGCAGCGUGCUGGGGAGUAGUGGACAGGGAGAUGCUUUCUAGGUCACCUCCAGCACUUUCUUCUCUUCGCUACGGAUGUCUAAUUCCGAGCAUGGAAGGAAUUCCAAGAUACUAGGGAAGUGAGUUGAGUGACUUAGAGAGAAUGGGAUACCACAGCAGUGCCUGUUGAGGGGGGGAUCCAGGGUUUAGGCUCCCUCAGCCACCUUUGUGUGGCCUUGAACAGGCUUCCUGACUUCCCAGAGCCGUCCUUUCCUGAAAUUUAGGAUGUGACAGUGUCUCACAGAGUACUUGAAGAGGCUUACAAAGUGGCACAUGAAAAUCUGAUGAUAGUAGUAUUGGGGAAGAAAACUAGGAAACCGUUUGGUGUUUCACCUUAGAUGAUGAUAAUUCAUUCUCUGCCUUCCAGAACUUAAAAAAUACAAGUAUACAUUUAAGUAUGUUUUUAAAGUACUGUUUGUAGAGUGCUAUUCUGAGCUAAUAAAAAUACGGGGAUAAUGUUGAUGUGUCCUAGGAUAUCCAAAAAUUUCAUUGCCUUGUCCUAUCCUCCACGGCUGUCUGUGGUUAGAGGAACUUCAUCUCCAGCCACUUUUUCCUGAGGUGAUCUCAUUAUCUCAACCCUGAUUGGAUUAAGUGACCUGGCACUUCAGGCAUAAACUCCCACACCCUAACACAGAUCCAGCAGUCAGAAUCUUGAAGACAGAAUCCAUCAUCUGGUCUUUAGGGUCCCCUUAAGUGGUGCAGCUGUACAACAUUCAGAACCACAGCUUUAGUGUCUUUGAUUCCGAAGCAGGGUUUGGGGGAGAAUAAACCUGCAAUUUGCAUCCCUCUGUCCAGUAUGUACUCCAAGAGGGCCUGCAACUUGGGCAGUUUGGUUUACCGACAUACUCCUAGUUCCUAGGAUGUUGCCUGGUACUUCAUCAAUGCUGAAGUAUUUGUCAAAUGACUCAUUUCACAAAAACGUACAAUUUGGCAUUCCAUGUUAGAGCGAAUUCUCAGAUUCUCAUGUUAAUCCCUAGUAACCUUGACCUUGUGUGUUUCACCUCUUUACUAUGCUUUAUUCUAGUUACAUAUGGUCAUUUGCCAAGAACUCCUGUACCUACCUAGCAUAAAGGAUCUUCCAUCUUUCUGCCUCUCCCCCCAACCAGGAGCAACCUAAGGGGGCAAGAGUCUGGCUGGUGAAACAGAUGGAAAUCCAGCAUCUUCCUUCCUACUAGAUGUCUGAUUCCAAAGGGACUACAUGUCAAGAGGGAAACACAGUUACAGAUGAAAGCUGUGACCCAGAAGAACUCCUCCCAUGGAAGAGCAGCACAUGUACCUUCAUGACACUGGGAUGAGACUGUGCUCAUCUUGACUUGGUGACAGUACACUUCUGGAUGGUGCUCAUUUACCCUCUUAAUAAUUUGCAUGAGAAACUAACAUGGUCAGAUUAGGGCUCUUAUUUUGAGCCCCAUGUGAGUGUUAAUCUAAGACACCUGUUGUCCAUCCAGUACCCUGACUACCAAAGCUUCUUCACUGGGAGAAAAAAAAUGUAUCAACUUUUUUUUUUUAAGUGUGGAGAUUUAGCCAUACCUUCAGUUUUUGUAAGCCCCAAAAUCAAAAUUUUGGAGACAGUUCUGUAUAUUUGCCUUUGUGGGUUUUUUGUUUUGUUUUUGGAAUGGAAUCUGGCUAUGUUACCCAGACUGGUCCCCAACUCCUAAGCUCAUGAUCCUCCUGUCUCAGAUUGCUGAGUAGCUGGGUUACAGACUGCACCACUGUGCCCAGCUCUGUACUUGCCUUUUGGGACUCAAGUAGUAGAUUUGAUGUUGUGACCUCAGCCUCCACUUCCCUAUUUCCUCCAUCCCAACAGUUCUUGUAUUCCAUUAGAUGAGACCUAUGUUCUGGGGAAAUAGAUUCUCCACUGGACAGAAGCAGGAGCAGGAAAUCUAGGUGAAACAAAUAUACCCAUCACCUGGCCACAAUCCCUGAUUCAAGCGUUGAGCAUGUGACCUGUGGGUUCGCAGGAAAAACUGUUAUGUGCAGACUACUGUAACAGAGUCACCCUUCAUUCUGAUUUUGGACAGUGUGGUGAUGGUGCAGAUAUAAGGUCUAGAGCAGGGGUGGCCAUCAGUGUCACCAACAGACUGGGCUUGGCCUGGGGCCAUCACUAAUUCAAGAGGCCAUACAUGAGCAGACUGAAGGGAGACAGUGGUGGGCCCGGAAUCACGUCACACCCAAAGCAUACCUACUUCUAGACUCUUUCACUAUUUCCAUGCUUUCCAUUUACUGCUUGGAGGGAGACGCUUGUAACUGGUGGCCAUAUUGUCCUAGGUGGCAAAAAUAAAAGAAGUUCAGAAACAAUUUUGUGUGCUCUAAAAAUAAAGUAGCAUGGGGCCAGGAUUUAACUCAGUGGUUCCACCGCCACCUGGCAAGCCCAAGGCCCUGAAUUCAAUCCCCGAUAGCUCACCCAAAAAUAAAUAAAUAAAAAAUAAAGUAGCAUAUAAAGGAAAUCAGAAUGAGAAUGUAAUUUCUCUGAAAUCCCUCUUAAUUUUUUAAUUGAAAGCUCCCAUGAGUUAAAGCUGUAAAUAUAUUAGUGAAAUGUUGACUAAAUAAAAAUGCAUGUUUUAUUUGUUUUUAAUGGCCAAUAUCUGGGGAUGCAACUCAGUGGUAGAAUCCAUGUUUACCAUACAUGAUGUCUGGGGUUUGAGCCCUCCUGCAAACAACAAUAACAACAGCAUCAAACAAACAAAAAACAAGCAAACAGUACUAAGGAGUACAGGAAGAGGAUGCCAUCUGUCCUCCCAGGCCUAUCACCAAAGGAGACAGAGCCAGUGAGGACCCCCAGGAUUGCCCACCAGCCUCCAGCGUGGCUGCAUAGGCACCUGAAACAACAGCCCCCCCACCCUCUUGGCUGUACAGCUACUUGGAUCCACACUACAGAGGCACAAGGGGACAUAAAGGCCAUUGUUCUGAGCUACAGAAGUGAACAACAGAGAGAGGGCCUCUCUCAGGCUCCUUGAUGAAAACUGAAG